Long non-coding RNA from Symphalangus syndactylus (siamang), 399 nucleotides. RefSeq lists it as uncharacterized. NCBI's taxonomy places the organism in Eukaryota, Metazoa, Chordata, Mammalia, Primates, Hylobatidae. The record is from RefSeq and is a predicted model, not a curated record.
UGUUGACUGGAUUUAAGUUGGGUUUCCUUAAGUAAUAGUAAGGGUUCUAAAAGGAUGAAGGUGUGAAGUCCAAAGAGAUGGCUGCUAGAGACGCAAGCCUUCCCACCAUUUUUUUUUUUUUUUUGAUGUUUUUUUCUUCACAGAUGAAAUAUAAUUUGAUGUUUGCCCUUGUUUGAAUACUCCAUGAAGAUGAGGAAAAUAUAUGUUUGUGUCUAACAAUGUCUGGCAUGUGAAAACCCCAACAAUUUAAAGGUUAAAGUGCUUUCCCUUGGUUACAUGCUUUGGAUAUCAAUGCAUUUUUUUCCACAAAACCUUAUUGAAGAGCUGAAACAACCACAUUCAAGAACCACUUCCCUUGUUCCUGUGAAAGGCUAUAAAAAACAAAUUGAGAAAUAAACA